Hyla sarda is the source of this 3338-nucleotide RNA transcript. It is a transcript of the gene named uromodulin-like, with no coding region annotated. The transcript is spliced from 18 exons. NCBI's taxonomy places the organism in Eukaryota, Metazoa, Chordata, Amphibia, Anura, Hylidae. The record is from RefSeq and is a predicted model, not a curated record.
UUCCUUAUACUGAAUUUGCUCAAUAUAUAUAUAGGGGGGUGUUUAGGAAUAUGUUCAUACUCCUCGCACAGAGUCAGAUACAUCCAUUAAGCAUCUGAAAUUCAUCGUGAAGCAGAUAUCCUCGAGGCUAAAGACCUUCCACCAUGAAUCUCCAUUUUCUGAUUGUUUUGCUAAUGUGCGAUUGCAGUUUUUCUGCCAUGAGUCAAGCCACUUUCAAAGGGGAAUGCAUAUCCAAAACAGAGUCCUCUUCUCUGACAUAUGUGGUGGAUGUAAGCGGUUCUAUGAGCGAUGACCUGUAUCAGCUACGAUUAGUAAAUGAUUGGCUUCUGGACAGAGUUUCAUCACGUUUUCCAUGUGGAGUUCGCAAAUAUACAAUGGUAGAGUUUAAUGAUCCAGAGGUCGGACCAAUCCGAAAUACCAGUUCUCGAAGGGAGUUUGGAGAAAUGUUUAAUAAUCUGUAUGCGAACGGAGGAGGUGACUGUCCUGAACUGGCCAUGGCGGGUCUUGAAUUAGGCCUAAAAAAUUCACCCAACAACUCAAUCAUCAUGGUCCUAACUGAUGCAUCAGCAAAAGAUUACGACAAUGCCACUUUAAUAAAUAGUAUAUAUUCACUUAUAUCUUCAAAGAGCUCCCAGGUUUUCUUUUUGAUCACUGGUCUGUGCAAUGGCUUAAAUGAUCCGAAAUUUUUGAUCUACAGAGAUAUUGCCCAUGAAAGCUUUGGGCAUGUGUUUCAAAUUCAGCUAUCGGAAAUGGACCAGGUAUUUCGUUAUUUGGAUUUCACUCUUUCAAGACCAGUAAGGACUUCAACACGACUCUUCUCUGCAGAGUACCAUGGUGGCCAUAAUUCUGAACAGUUCGUUCUUGUGGAUGUAUUUGGUAAACUUAUAUUGAUGACUGAUGGAGUCAUUUCUACAUUUUCGUUAGUUGGUCCAGAUGGUAGUUCUGCUGCAAUGGAAACGAUUGUGUCUGAAAAGUGGGGAUCUGUGUAUGUUGUAACAAACCCUGAAAACGGAACAUGGACUAUAGAUACCGAGGGUGAUGGAAGAUAUUCUGUUACUGUGGAAGGACUAGAAGCAACAAACAUCUCAGCCACCACGGACUGCUCUGGAUGUCACCCUAAUGCUACAUGUGAAGAAUUCUCAGACAGGAAAGAAUGCCAUUGUAACGAUGGUUUAAUCGGUGAUGGAUUUUCAUGCUCUGACAUUGAUGAAUGUGCUUAUUCUUGGUCCAACAACUGCUCUGGUAUCUGUAUAAACACAUAUGGCUCAUACAGAUGUGACUGUGAGCCUGGAUUUACCAAAAACUCUUUAGAUAUUUGUGUUGACAUUGAUGAAUGUUCUGAUGAAAAUCCCAGUUUGUGUCAUCCUCUAGCAAACUGCACAAAUUAUCAUGGCAACUACUCGUGUACAUGUCCCCCUGGCUACUACGGUGAUGGCUAUGAUUGUGAGCUGAAUGAAUGUAUGACAGGUGUUUGUAGUCAAGACAUGGCCUGUGCAAAGUUUAAAGGACAUUUUACCUGUUUUGACCCUUGUACGGAAUAUACCCCACUUGAUGAUCCUUGGAGAAGCAUCGACAGUGGUUAUGGUUAUCAAUGUGAUAACUCCUUAUCUGGAUGGUACAGAUUUACAGGCGCUGGAGGCAUUCGGAUACCUGAAACCUGUGUGUAUGGAUAUCAGUGCAGUACAAUUGCCCCAAUGUGGAUAAAUGGAACACAUCCAUCAGAAAGAGAAGGAAUAGUAAAUCUCACAGCUUGUGCUCAGUGGAAUGGAGACUGUUGUAUGUGGUCAACUAAUGUCCAAGCCAAGGCUUGUCCAGGUGGAUAUCACGUAUAUAAUAUAAAUGGAGUGCCGUCCUGCAGCUCUGCAUAUUGCACAGACCCGGCAGCUACAGUAAAAGAACCAUGCUCCUGUUCUGAAGAUGAAGAAUGCAAAAUGAUCCAUGGGAGCUAUGCAUGUGUCUGUAAAGAUGGACUUGAAGUCUAUGAUAUUGAAGAUGUUGGCCUUGAUAUAGACUGUGGUACAGAAGAAAUGACAGCUUCUUUCCACACGUGCCAAUUGAGAAAUCUUCACCUUAAUGUCACCAAUAUCCAUCUCCUAGACAGCACAUGUGUUGGUUAUACAGAACGGAACAACUCUGAAGUCAUUCUAACUACUAUACCUCUUCAAGAUGGGGUCUGUGGAAAUUAUCUCAUAAAUAAUGGAACACAUGCAACUUACAAAAAUACAAUGUUUGUGCAAAUGGAGACGGAUAACAUCAUUAUAAGAACUUACCGCGUUCAGCUGGAAUUUUCUUGCUCAUAUCCGCUUGAUUUACAGCUUUCUCUGCAUAACUCACUGAAACCAGUUGUAAGUUCACUGACUUUGAGCAUUGAGGGCACUGGACAAUUCAGGGCACAAAUGCUUCUCUAUAAAGAUGAGAAUUAUGCAUCCCCAUAUUACGAUAGUGAGAUUACAAUGUCAACAAAAGCCACACUAUAUGUUGCAGUCACUCUUGAAGGUGCAAACUCAUACCAAUAUGUUGUGGUGAUGAAGAACUGCUUUGCUACGCCAACAAGAAAUUUCUAUGAUCCAGUAAAAUAUUAUAUAAUUAAAGAUAAAUGUCCGAACAGGAGGGAUGGAACUGUCAGCGUCAGACAAAAUGGAGUCUCCACACGAGGACUGUUCUCUGUUCAGAUGUUCAAGUUUGUUGGAGAUUAUGACUCAGUAUAUCUGCACUGUGAAACAAGUAUUUGUGAUACCACAAGAGGCAGAUGCAAACCUUCAUGCACUGGUGUCCGCUCAGAUUUCCCUCUGACUGAUCAUAACCAAUUUGUUUUGGAAUAUGGUCCCAUCGUCCUGUCAGAACAAUGAAGAGCACUUUCACUUAGUGAGGUAUAAUAAAGCAUAUGGACAAGAUGAUGAGAAAACCUCAGAUGCUGCUGGGAUGCAUGCAUCUUGGACAACACUUAUACUUAUUCUGCUGUUUCUCAAACACUGCUCCAGUUUCUGGUGAAAUGUGAUGCAAUAAGGUGUAUGACCGUCUUCCAUGUCCCCUCCCCCAUCAUGUAACACAUUCCAUGGCAAAACAGAAAAUAUGGCACUACACCGGCAUUAUGCUCUUUGCUGUAUAAAAUGCUUAGUUGUCACAUUUUCUGUAUUUUUUCAGCUUUGUAUUGAAAUGUAACAGCUUUAUUAUAUUCCUUCUGUUUUUAUUUCAUACUCCUGUUUACAAAAUAAAAUAUUGGGAACAUUCAUGUUGGUGACAUAUUUAUGAAUUUCAUCUAAUACUUCAGGAUCUGUAUACAAAAUACAGUAUAUACAUUUUGUAACAUUCCCAUAUGUUUCUUUAGGGCAAACAAG